GGGGUGCAUAGCAAAUCCCUUGACUUAGAGACAGGCUGAGGAUGCGUCACACAUUAGGAGGAAAUGAGUAAGAAGGAAGAAGGAACAUCUGGACUAGCCAGGAAAAUGAACUGUCAUCAUUACAAUUUGGAUGCUAUGUCCACAGCCAAGACUGGUGUUACUGGCCCCAUCCUUGUGCUUGUUGGAUAUGGAUCUCAAAACUGCAAAGCUUGGUGACUGGACACUACUAACACUAAAUAAUGAGGGAUCUUAUGGAAGGAAUCCAGACUACGUUUUGGAGCACAGAGAGUAUGAAGAAACCUGAACGUGAAGCCUGCAGGUACCAAAAGGGAUGCAGCCCCAGAGGCCACUCUUCCCUUUUGUGCUAUCGAGAACAUAUCUACAUGUAGAGUACUGACAGCUACUACAUUGUCCAUGAAUGAGAUUAAUCCUCACACCUUUCCUGGAAACUAGGAGUGUGCUCCUUGGUCUACAUACAAGACUUCAGUGAAAAUCAAGCCACCUGUUAAUUUUUUGAAUUAUCUAUUAAGUUGGUGUACUUUUGGCUUCAGAACAUUCAGCAAAGUGAACAUCAUGGUGUUAGGAGCACAAAGCAAGGGAACCCUGACAUGGUGGGCAGGAAGCAGAGAGUACAACAGAAGGGAUCAAGAAUAAAACAGUGUCAAGGGCCCA
This 672-nucleotide long non-coding RNA is filed under the name Mus spicilegus (steppe mouse). RNAcentral describes it as "lncRNA (ENSMSIG00000025353.1)". The record is from RNAcentral. Lineage: Eukaryota; Metazoa; Chordata; Mammalia; Rodentia; Muridae.